CCCGGGGCUUGGCGUGUAGAGGCUUUGGGGAGCUGGGGCAGGAGGCCCCAGCUGAGAGGACCGGCUUCCUAACGGGUAAAUCAGAAGUGACCAGAUCUCUCUAAACCUUUCCCUGAAACAAUGCAAAGAGAAACACUGAAAGAUGCUGCUGAGCUGGGUGUGGGAGACUGGAACAUGCCAUCCUCUGCCCAGGACCUGCUGAACAUGGAGGGCUAACCGGCUGCUAACCUGCUCUACUUGCCUGAUUUCUUCUUAUUUGAAUGAUCCACCUUUUCCUAUAGUGAUCACCGUGAAUCACUUGAAAAUGAAUAUGCCAAG
This is a long non-coding RNA of Balaenoptera ricei (Rice's whale), 318 nucleotides long. RefSeq lists it as uncharacterized. The record is from RefSeq and is a predicted model, not a curated record. Lineage: Eukaryota; Metazoa; Chordata; Mammalia; Artiodactyla; Balaenopteridae. The transcript has 4 exons.